UACGUAGGGGGCUAGCGUUGUCCGGAAUCAUUGGGCGUAAAGAGCGUGUAGGCGGCUUUACAGGUCCGUUGUGAAAACUCGAGGCUCAACCUCGAGACGCCGGUGGAAACCGUAAGGCUAGAGUCCGGAAGAGGAGAGUGGAAUUCCUGGUGUAGCGGUGAAAUGCGCAGAUAUCAGGAGGAACACCCGUGGCGAAAGCGGCUCUCUGGGACGGUACUGACGCUGAGACGCGAAAGCGUGGAGAGCAAACAGG
RNAcentral lists this ribosomal RNA (253 nucleotides) under uncultured bacterium. RNAcentral describes it as "partial 16S ribosomal RNA". It matches the Rfam family "Bacterial small subunit ribosomal RNA", at positions 524 to 776 of the family's 1533-position model. The record is from RNAcentral.